CCUACGUGGGGCAGCAGUGAGGAAUAUUGGUCAAUGGUCGGGAGACUGAACCAGCCAAGCCGCGUGAGGGAUGAAGGUACAGAGUAUCGUAAACCUCUUUUGUCAGGGAACAAAGGCGGGGACGUGUCCCCGGAUGAGUGUACCUGAAGAACAAGCAUCGGCUAACUCCGUGCCAGCAGCCGCGGUAAUACGGAGGAGGCGAGCGUUAUCCGGAUUUAUGGGGUUUAAAGGGUGCGAAGACGGUCUGUUAAGUCAGCGGUCAAAGCCCGGGGCCCACCCCCGCCCCGCCGUUGAAACCGGCAGUCUCGAGUUGGAGAGAAGUAUGCGGAAUGCGCGGUGUAGCGGUGAAAUGCAUAGAUAUCGCGCAGAACUCCGAUUGCGAAGGCAGCAUGCCGGCUCCACACUGACGCUGAGGCACGAAAGCGUGGGUAUCGAACAGGAUUAGAUACCCCAGUAGUC
Molecule: ribosomal RNA, 459 nt
Filed under: uncultured bacterium
Lineage: Bacteria
Description: partial 16S ribosomal RNA
Rfam family: Bacterial small subunit ribosomal RNA
Source: RNAcentral